This 823-nucleotide small RNA is filed under the name Histoplasma capsulatum. RNAcentral's name for it is "hypothetical RNA". Lineage: Eukaryota; Fungi; Ascomycota; Eurotiomycetes; Onygenales; Ajellomycetaceae. The record is from RNAcentral. RNAcentral also lists the same sequence under 1 other name.
CCGUUGGAACUUGUACAGCGGGAUUUUUGACUACUAGUAGGGUGACCAUCAGCUUUCCUUGUGUUUCAUCUUGUCACUGGUUUUGGCGGCUCUCAGGUGAGGUCUCAUGGUACCGAUAUAUCUACAGUUGCUUGCCAAAUCCAUUGGACCGACCCAAAAUAUACUCACUUGACAUAUCCUGUACCAGCGCCGUUAUUAGCAGCGCGCAGGAGGGAGGACAUGUUGUUUUACUUGGACUGUGGGGGCUAAGGAUCGCUGGUACCCUUUUCCGACCUACCUUCCGAAGCAUGUCGAUCACUAGGAGGCAGAGCAUACAAGCCUCCUGGCAUGAUAUGGCAUGAUCUUUAGUCUCACCAAUGAGUGCUCCGUGCUUCAGCUUGAAUUUGUAGUGAUUUUCCUGGCAGCUUCCAAAAUCCAACACUUCGCAUUGUGAGAAAAUUGUCAGCUCAUCCAGAGAAUAAAUAGAGAUAUAUUCGUUCUGGUGAAAAAGACUUGGCCCCCGAAACCCCAUCCCUCUGCUACUCCCUGCGGCAGCUUGUGAUGUUGGUUUAGCCAUUUCAGCGGAGCAUGGUUAGCAGAAUGCUGGGCUGUCAGACGUUCUUGUAUCCUCCAAGCAAAAAUGUUCGUUGAUUUAAGAUUUCAGUUUCUUAGAGAAUUUCACCAACCUUUCUUGAGCGUGGUGACAGCCGCCGGUCGUACAGAGAGCAUUUUGUGGUUAAUCAACUUUUCUCAAAUUUCAAGCACCGCUAUAAAUAAUAUGUGCUUGCAGUUUUUACGGAUAGCUUACAGACGUUAAUCCAAGGUCACCUUGACAUGUUUGAGG